RNAcentral lists this ribosomal RNA (488 nucleotides) under uncultured bacterium. Its description in RNAcentral is "bacterial SSU rRNA". It matches the Rfam family "Bacterial small subunit ribosomal RNA", at positions 28 to 507 of the family's 1533-position model. The record is from RNAcentral.
GAUGAACGCUAGCGACAGGCCUAACACAUGCAAGGUCGAGGGGCAGCACAUGAGUAGCAAUACGAUGGUGGCGACCGGCGCACGGGUGAGUAACACGUAUGCAACCUACCUGUAAGAGGGGAAUAACCCGGAGAAAUUCGGACUAACACCGCAUAAUACUGCGAAGCUGCAUGGCUUUGCAGUUAAAUAUUUAUAGCUUACAGAUGGGCAUGCGUAACAUUAGAUAGUUGGUGAGGUAACGGCUCACCAAGUCAACGAUGUUUAGGGGUUCUGAGAGGAAGGUCCCCCACACUGGUACUGAGACACGGACCAGACUCCUACGGGAGGCAGCAGUGAGGAAUAUUGGUCAAUGGGCGAGAGCCUGAACCAGCCAAGUCGCGUGAAGGAAGAAGGUUCUAUGGAUUGUAAACUUCUUUUGUAAGGGAAUAAAAAGAGUUACGUGUAACUUAUUGUAUGUACUUUACGAAUAAGGAUCGGCUAACUCCGUG